CCGGACGCCGCUGAGUCCCGCGGGCUGCGUGGACUUUAUAAUCCUGGCCGACGCUGAUUGGUUCACAGGGAUCGCGGCAGCCCUUGGAAGUGAGAAUUGCCAGCGCGUCAUCAGUAUCCGGGCAGAAGGACCUGACACAGAAGUCAGACCCUGGAGUCUUCUAGAAGAAAAGCCACUUCCGGGAAUACAAUCACAACACAAGGGGUUGUGGGUGCGGUGGAGAGACGCUUCUCCUUUAAGAGGAGGCGCUGGCCUGCAAGCCCCACCCAGACCCCACAGAGACCAGGCUCUGUUCACCUGCAUGGGCAGCUCACACUGCCAAGCCUGAGUGCAGGACUCUCAUCUGUAAAGAGGAGACUUUGCCUCUUCCCUCAGGAUCUGUCUUCUCAACCUCGGGUUUAGACCCAGACUCCUUGUGUUUAUUCCCAGAAGAUGCAUCUGUGGCUCCAGGUACCAGCAUUGCCUUGGGUGACUCUGGAGAACCAAGCCUUCUUGCCCAGGUUCCUGUGGCAGUGACAACCAGCUGCUGACUGGAAGAUCCCAUAUCUGCACUGAGUGAUUGGGUGUCACUGUAUUAGUUACUGUGGUCCUUUGGAUAAAAUGACCCCCAUAUGCUUGCUCAUUUGAAUACUUGGUUCCCAGUUGGUGCUGUUUGGGCAAGCUUAGGAGGAGGGGCCUUGCUGGAGGAAGGAUGUCACUCGGAGCAUGGUUGGAGAUGUGAGCUCUCAGACAGUCCUGCUGCCACGCCUGGCAUUUGCUGACACGAUGAUGAUGGACUCUUAACUCUCCGAACCCUAUGCUCCAAAUAAACCUUCUGUAAGUUGCAUGGGGGUGAUGUUUUAUCAAGCAACACAAAGUAACCAAUCCAGUUACUUUCCCCAUCAGUGUGACUUAAUAUGCAACAAGCGGCAACUUAGGGAGGAAGGGUUUAUCCUGGCUUAUAGUCUGUAGGGAUACAGUCCACCACAUCGGUGAGGCUCACUGGAGAAGCUGGAGGUGGCUUGUUAUAUUGAGUCUACUGUCUGGAGAUGUUAGCGCCCAGCCUGCUUUCUCCUUCUUAUUCUGUACAAGACCCUUCCUGUGGAUGGUGCCACCCACAUCCAGAGUGAGUCUUCUCUCAGUUUAAACCUUUCAGGAAAUGCGUUCUAGAUGUGCCCAGAGCCGUUUUCGCAAAGACUCUAAAUUCCAUCCAGCUAGCGAUGAAGAUUACCCAUCACACUGCUGUGGCACCUCCACAUGUGGUCAUUCAUCAUCUAACAUCUGGAUACGUUCCAGAAACUGUGAUGUGAACAUACAGUGUGCUUCUGUGAACCUACAUGAUAUGGCCUGUGUUGCACAUGUGGUUAUGUGGUGCAUAGAAUCUGGACAUCGUGUGUGCAGUAUGUCCAUCAGGAGGCACAGUAGCAUGGGCUUGUGAGGGCAUUCUGGUAUGACACAGCCCGUGUUUAUAGCGCGUUUAUGUGUGUACUUGUGAUUUGUGAGACAGGUUCUCUGUACGUUGCAGUCUGACCUGGGACUUACUAUGUGGCCCUGGCUUGUCUGGGAUUCACAAUCCUCCUGCCUCAACUUCUGGGGUAGCUAUACUUCAGAAAAUAGUAUAUUAUGAAAUAAUAGAGAAUAUGACAUCAGCACAUAUAUUUCUAGCAGCUUUUGUCACUCUCGAGCAUUUUAUACUAUGCACAAUUACAGAUGCUUUUUUAACAUUAUUUGUUUCAUAUGUAUGAAUGUUGUGUCUGCAUGUAUGUGUGUGCAUGUAUGCAUGCAGUAUGUGUAGAGUCCAGGACAGGGAGUUAGGUUCCCCAGAACUAGAGUUAGAAACAGUUGUGAACCUCCACAAAGGGCCUCUGAAUCCUCCAGAAGGACAGUCAGGGUUCUUAACCUCUGAGCUGUCUCUCCACCCUGUCCAUGUUCUGAACUUUUAGUUCAUGUUCACUUACUUGCGUUUGCUGUACUUGAGGGGGAAACAAAACAAAGCAAAACAAAACAGGGUCUCGUGCAUUUGAAAUGAGUCACGUUGAGCCUCAUCCCCAGCCUUGUGCUGUGUGUGUGUGUGUGUGUGUGUGUGUGUGUGUGUGUAUGUGUAUGUUUGAGGACAUGAGACUGUGUGCGUGUGUGUGUAUGUUUGAGGAUAUGAGUGUGUGUGUGUCAUAUGUGUCGUGUGUGUGUGGUGUGUGUGUGUGUUUGAGGAUAUGAGUGUAUGUGUGUGUGUCAUAUGUGUCGUGUGUGUGGUGUGUGUGUGUGUGUGUUUGAGGAUAUGAGACUGUGUGUGUGUCAUGUGUGGUGUGUGUGUGUGUGGUGUGUGUGUGUUUGAGGAUAUGAGACUGCGUGUGUGUCGUGUGGUGUGUGUGUGUGUGUGUGUGUGUGUGUGUGUGUGUGUGUGUGUUGGGAAUGUAGGUUACUGGGGUUUGAUAUUAGCGCCCUGAGCCCACAGCCAAGCAUUUUAACACUGAGCUACAACCCAUUGCUUUCCAUGAUGUUUGUUUGUUUGUCUUUUCUAUGUAGGAGUGUUUUACCGAAGUACAUAAAUGUGGCACUGACAGACCAGAAGAGGGCGCUGGGUCCCUCAGAACUGGAGGAACCUCUGUAAGAGUAGCACCGCUCUUAACUGUGGAGCCCUCUCUCCACACUGGUGAGCUCAAGGUCACCUCCAUCCCCAACGCACACACGCGUGCACACAAAUUCUUACUUUGAGAUGAGGUCUCAUUGUAUUGCACAGACUGGCCUUGGAUUCACUCUGUAGCUCAGACAGGCUUUGAACUUGCCGUCCUCUUGCCUGCUCCCAAGGAGAAUGGGAAGUGUGGCGGCAGACAGCCGCAGGCCACAGGAGCUUGAGGCCUGCUCUCCCACCACUCCCCACUCCUCAGAGGAACAGGAAGCUGAGCCUAUGUCCUAGCAUCCAUCCCAGGAACUGGGCGAAAUCCAGCCUCUAACAGCAAACACGUGAGCUGGCGCCUUCUUGCCCUCCCAUCCGACUCCUCCCUGACACUGCUUCUGUACCUUCUGUCCCCACCAUAGCCUAGCCUUGUCCCUCCUUAUCCAGCCCUCCCUUCCUCUGAGGACCACAGCCCCUCACCACCCUCCCUGGUCUAGGAGCUCUGCUCCUCUGGCUCUAACAGCACAAACAGAACGGAAGCUCGUGUUCCUUGAUGGUCGGCGCGAGCCUUUGAGAACGUCCCCUCCCCCCCGUAACAUAAACUGUCACCUGGAGACUCAGAAGGCAAGUGUACACCCUGUGCUUUUAGAAAACCAUCCUAUUUCUUUUCUUCCUUGUUUUUUCAAAUCUACUUUUUUUUUUUUUUUUUUUUUUUUUGGUUCUUUUUUUCGGAGCUGGGGACCGAACCCAGGGCCUUGCGCUUCCUAGGUAAGCGCUCUACCACUGAGCUAAAUCCCCAGCCCCUCAAAUAUACUUUUAUUUUAUUUACUCUUCAUUACUUUAAAUCCGGGAUGGGUACAGCAUCACACGGAUUCUGUGUCCAGUGGCCUUUGCAGGAAGGCUGCUUCGGAAUUUGGCACGAACCAUGCCACAGUUUCCAUGGGCCUGAGUUACUCUUCCCCAUAUCCCUCUGGUUUUGUUUGGUUUGCCUCCGGGAGUCAUGGGCAUAAACACUUUCAAUUUUAAGAAGAGACCUGGAGCUGGAGAGAUGGCUCAGGGGUUAAGAGCACUGACUGCUCUUCCAGAGGUCCUGAGUUCAAAUCCCAGCAACCACAUGGUGGCUCACAGCCAUCUGUAAUAGGAUCUGGUGCCCUCUUCUGGUGCAUCUCAAAACAGCUACACUCUACUCAUAUAAGUAAAAAUUA
This is a long non-coding RNA of Rattus norvegicus (Norway rat), 3798 nucleotides long. RefSeq lists it as uncharacterized. The record is from RefSeq and is a predicted model, not a curated record. Lineage: Eukaryota; Metazoa; Chordata; Mammalia; Rodentia; Muridae.